RNAcentral lists this microRNA precursor (105 nucleotides) under Canis lupus familiaris (dog). Its description in RNAcentral is "mir-8834 microRNA precursor family". It matches the Rfam family "mir-8834 microRNA precursor family". RNAcentral also lists the same sequence under 1 other name. The record is from Rfam by way of RNAcentral. Lineage: Eukaryota; Metazoa; Chordata; Mammalia; Carnivora; Canidae.
AGGAGGAACAACCACGGUGGCGGGGGCAGCUCUGGAGCCCUGGAUUCAGCCCCUGCAGGAAUUCCGGAGCUCUCAGUCCGCAGGGCCUGGAUGCUCCGGGCGGGG